AUUGAACGCUGGCGGAAUGCUUUACACAUGCAAGUCGAACGGCAGCACGGACUUCGGUCUGGUGGCGAGUGGCGAACGGGUGAGUAAUGUAUCGGAACGUGCCCAGUCGUGGGGGAUAACGUAGUGAAAAUUACGCUAAUACCGCAUACGAUCUAUGGAUGAAAGCGGGGGAUCGCAAGACCUCGCGCGAUUGUAGCGGCCGAUAUCAGAUUAGGUAGUUGGUGGGGUAAAGGCCCACCAAGCCAACGAUCUGUAGCUGGUCUGAGAGGACGACCAGCCACACUGGAACUGAGACACGGUCCAGACUCCUACGGGAGGCAGCAGUGGGGAAUUUUGGACAAUGGGCGAAAGCCUGAUCCAGCCAUUCCGCGUGCAGGAUGAAGGCCCUCGGGUUGUAAACUGCUUUUGUACAGAACGAAAAGGUUUCUACUAAUACUAGGAGCUCAUGACGGUACUGUAAGAAUAAGCACCGGCUAACUACGUGCCAGCAGCCGCUGAA
RNAcentral lists this ribosomal RNA (499 nucleotides) under uncultured bacterium. Its description in RNAcentral is "partial 16S ribosomal RNA". It matches the Rfam family "Bacterial small subunit ribosomal RNA", at positions 30 to 522 of the family's 1533-position model. The record is from RNAcentral.